UGCAAGUCGAACGGUAACAUAAGAGCUUGCUCUUGAUGACGAGUGGCGGACGGCCGUUUUAAACGUAUACAAUCUACCUUUAACUGAGGAAUAGCCCCUAUAAAUUUGGAUUAAUACCUCAUAGUAUUAUUUUAAGGCAUCUUAUUAUAAUUAAAACUCCGGUGGUUAAAGAUGAGUAUGCGUUCUAUUAGUUUGUUGGUGAGGUAACGGCUCACCAAGACUACGAUAGAUAGGGGGCCUGAGAGGGUGAUCCCCCACACUGGUACUGAGACACGGACCAGACUCCUACGGGAGGCAGCAGUGAGGAAUAUUGCGCAAUGGAGGAAACUCUGACGCAGCCAUACCGCGUGUAGGAAGAAUGUCCUAUGGAUUGUAAACUACUUUUAUACAAGAAGAAACCCCAGUACGUGUACUGGGCUGACGGUAUUGUAAGAAUAAGCACCGGCUAACUCCGUGUCAGCAGCCGCGGUAAUACGGAGGGUGCAAGCGUUAUCCGGAUUUAUUGGGUUUAAAGGGUCCGCAGGCGGGAUUCUAAGUCAGUGGUGAAAGCCUACAGCUUAACUGUAGAACUGCCAUUGAAACUGGAAUUCUUGAGUGUGGUUGAAGUAGACGGAAUAUGUCAUGUAGCGGUGAAAUGCAUAGAUAUGACAUAGAACACCAAUUGCGUAGGCAGUUUACUAAACCAUUACUGACGCUCAUGGACGAAAGUGUGGGGAGCGAACAGGAUUAGAUACCCUGGUAGUCCACACCGUAAACUAUGAUCACUAGAUGUUGGCGAUAUACAGUCAGUGUCUUAGAGAAAUCGUUAAGUGAUCCACCUGGGGAGUACGUUCGCAAGAAUGAAACUCA
Molecule: ribosomal RNA, 849 nt
Filed under: uncultured Flavobacteriales bacterium
Lineage: Bacteria; Pseudomonadati; Bacteroidota; Flavobacteriia; Flavobacteriales
Description: bacterial SSU rRNA
Rfam family: Bacterial small subunit ribosomal RNA
Source: RNAcentral